RNAcentral lists this long non-coding RNA (357 nucleotides) under Salmo salar (Atlantic salmon). RNAcentral's name for it is "lncRNA (ENSSSAG00000091805.1, ENSSSAG00020010420.1, ENSSSAG00075057572.1)". Lineage: Eukaryota; Metazoa; Chordata; Actinopteri; Salmoniformes; Salmonidae. The record is from RNAcentral.
CUUCGAAUGAACCGGAAAAAUCUGUACUCUUGGAUUUUCACACAACUGAACUUGCCUGCCUCUGCCGAAGGGUUAACGUGCACAUGGAUGAUGGCAAAGUGUGAAGUCUUGAGUAUAGACCCUGGUAGGUCAAGACUUGGAAUUCCCUGGAAAUGCUUAGUGAGAGGCAGAAUGAAUCCGAACAGAGAGAGAAGAGCACUCCUAUGCCAUCCAUUAGAUUAAGACAACAUUGGCUAAUUAAGUAUCUCCGACCUAUUACUCCCUCAUUUAAUCAACCAUUAUUUCUCUGGCCAAACUUCCUUCCUCUCUCCUUUCAUAUUGAUGGUGGCCCUCUUGGGUGGCGGGCUGGCAUGGCUC